This 1174-nucleotide long non-coding RNA is filed under the name Chrysemys picta bellii (western painted turtle). Its description in RNAcentral is "lncRNA (ENSCPBG00000026017.1)". The record is from RNAcentral. Lineage: Eukaryota; Metazoa; Chordata; Testudines; Emydidae.
AUGAAUCCACCCUGCUUUCACUGUGUCAGUGCAAUGGGGGCCAAGGUGCUGUUGCCCCAGGCUAUCUGGGGAGGACUGCAAGAAACCCACACUCCUGCCAGCCAAUCAAGACAUCCAAUUGGUCUCUCUCUGGGUUGGGACAUAAGAAAUUCCUGGAUUAAGUGGUGGGGGUAGACAGACCCUUCCAUUCUUAAGGGAAAUGGGUAAUUUUGCCUCCCCUUUUAUCCUAAUGUGGAUUAUCACACCCUCAUGUGCUGCAGCCAAGAUAUUGGUUGGUUGUGUGAGCUUUAUGAAGUUCUUGCAUUACUUACUACAUGUUUAGCUAACAUGUUACAGUUUUCCUUCUGAGACUGCCAGUUAUUGGACUGUGACUGCACUAGCCCUGUUUUUAUGAGGACGGAGUGUUUGAUGUGUUCAGCCUAAGCCAGUUGGCCAGACCUUGGGAGGUCAAAUGGACAAUUUGGUCUAAAAACUGGUUGAGGGGCUAGAGCUCUCCUGACUAUCACCUGGAACAAUGAAGAGCCUGUGAUUGAGGAAUCAGCUGCGGUCAUCCUUUGCUGCAAGAACUAUUCUCUCUUUUCCUGGGUUGAAUGAUUAUUGUUGUAUAUUCAGUAAUCUCUGUGUGUCAUUCCUAAAAACUCACCUCUGCCCUCUAUAGGAAAUUUAGUUGAUAUGUAUAACAACAUCCCUUUCAUUGUUCUCCUUUCCUGAUUUAUACCUGUCUUGUUGCCCUUUGACCAUGAGCUUCUUGGGAAUGAGACUGAACCUUUUCUGCUUGUCUGAAUGCACCUAACAGAUCAUAGACAUUACUCCAAAUAACUAAUAAUAAUGGCUUAAAUUAAAAUUUGAGCACGAUUCUUACAGCAUUCUCAGCAACUGAUGCUUGACUACCAGUUAGUGAAAUUGUAGAAAUAGUAAGGAAGGGCCCUGUUAUAUUUCUGGUUGUUACCUAGUAAUUACCUAUCAGUGCAAACAAAGUGUAGCUUACAAAAGCAAUGAUCAAAUUAGCACUGAAAAGUAAAAUGGCAAAUUAUGCAAACUCUGAAGCUGUCAUUAAACUUGUCAUAAUGGGAAAGGAAGUAUGGAUGAUAUAAAAAAUGGUAAAAAACAUGGUGGUUGCUAAAAGAUGGCUUUGUUUUUAAACCAGUUCGGAUUCUCUUGUUUUUCUUAUUUG